GACGAACGCUGGCGGCGUGCUUAACACAUGCAAGUCGAACGGUAAGGCCCUGCUUUUGGGGGGUGCUCGAGUGGCGAACGGGUGAGUAACACGUGAGUAACCUGCCCUUGACUUUGGGAUAACUUCAGGUAACUGGGGUUAAUACCGGAUAGUAGCUCCUGCUGCAUGGUGGGGGUUGGAAAGGUUCGUCGGUUGGGGAUGGACUCGCGGCUUAUCAGCUUGUUGGUGGGGUAGUGGCUUACCAAGGCUUUGACGGGUAGCCGGCCUGAGAGGGUGACCGGCCACAUUGGGCCUGAGAUAGGGCCCAGACUCCUACGGGAGGCAGCAGGGGGGAAUAUUGCACAAUGGGCGGAAGCCUGAGGCAGCAACGCCGCGGGCGGGAUGAAGGCCUUCGGGUUGUAAACCGCUUUCGCCUGUGACGAAGCGUGAGUGACGGUAAUGGGUAAAGAAGCACCGGCUAACUACGUG
Molecule: ribosomal RNA, 468 nt
Filed under: uncultured bacterium
Lineage: Bacteria
Description: partial 16S ribosomal RNA
Rfam family: Bacterial small subunit ribosomal RNA
Source: RNAcentral